ACCGUGUUUGAUUCUUUUUUAUCUCUUACUACCAACAAAUGCUUAAUAUUCUUGUUGCUUUUUAUAACCUUUGGCAUUUACAUGAGUGCCUGGAAAACGAGGCCCUUUAGAAAUGUUGGAUCUGGUGAGCGUGCGUGGUUUUAAAAGCCAAGUGAGAAAGUUUUGGGUUUGGUUCUGUGUGCAGCGAGGAGCCUUCAAAACGUUGUGAAAAAGGAAGUUUGUGAUCAGAGCUGUGCUUUCUGAAGAUAACAUAAGCAACCAUAUGGAGAUCAAAUUAGAGAGAGGAAAAGCCCAGGGCAAAGAGAUCUGUUAGCAGUUGUCACAAAAACCUAGGUGAGGGAGGCAGAGCCUGGGCUGAGGGGGCAGUGGCCAUGGGAGUAGAAGGAGACAAAUAAACUCAAUUAGAUUUGGCCACAGUUUGACGUAGAGAAUGCAGAAGAUGGACGUGAGGGGCCUGGGGUCACAGUUACCUAUCAAACUCAGGGUCCUUAAAAACCUUUCAACAAUUUGCUACUUCUGUUUAAUCUAUCCCUCACUGGUGAAGUCCAGCAUAAAAUGUUAGUCUUUACAGGCAAAAGCUGGACAAAGCCAACAGCUUGAGAUUAUCCCCAGAUUAUCGUGGUUGAAGAAAACUUUCCAGGAGCCUUGAAUGCAGGAGCCAUUCAUAGAGAAGAGGAAGGGCUCCAGAGGAUGAGUUAGGGGUUAGUUAACACAGUGACUCUUGUCAGAUUUGUCAGGUGAGGGCUAAAAGUGUCAGCUAUGCCUCAGACAGUUUGCUUAAUGAUUUGGAGGGGCCUUCCACGUGACAAGUUCACACAGCUGGAUUUAAAAUAUUUAAGGCAUUUCUUUCAAGCAUUUGCCUAGCUGGGGGUUGUGAUGAGGAGGAGGACUAUGGUGUUCGCUUUUCGGGAAUCCUACUUCUUUCUUGACUUGAAAAAUGUUGUAUGAAAUCAAUAAAAUGUGCGUAACAAUACAUUGUUUUCCCCGAGUGAGGAAAUAAUUUGGCUGCUGUCCAGCAUUGUGCUUAUAUGAACUGAAAGAAAACAUUCACAGCAAGUAUGUACUGUAGGUAGUCAGGUUGAGAAGGGCUUCCAACAUCAUAAAUAUAAAGAAACCCAUGGCUUUACCAAGGAUUUCACAUUUGUUCACGAAGUGAUAAAAUUUCAAGAAAGCAUCUUCUGACAGCCUUUGAAGAUCAUGUAGAAUAAUUUGGUUCCCACAGGUGACUACUGUUUAAAGAAAUUGCCACGAGUGUCAACAGCAGAGGCAUCAAAACAGUACCGAUUACCUAUGGACAGUCAGAAUCCAGUGAUGUCAGAACAGAGGAGGUGAUGCCAAUGCUGCUGGUCUGAAGACCACACUUUGAGAAGCAGUUUCCACCGCUUGGAGAAGCAGUGGCAUAGCGUGAUAGGCGUGUGACCCGUUUUGAUCAGUAAGCUAUAAGGACACCUGGGAAAGCUGGUCCUUCCCGAUAAGCAGCCAUCAGAAGCAACAAAAUACCGACACCCUUCAAAAAUCUCCAUUUUUGUUUCAACUGAACGUACGCGUCGUGUCGGGCUACAACGUAAGCGCUUUGCUGGCGGAUAUUCAACUGGCAUGUCAUGGCGAUUCCAAUCUUGACAGCUCUUUCAAGGGGGAGGAUUAACUCUACGUCCUCCAUUCUAUCACCGCUUACCUGGGCUAGUGACUCAUAGAUCUGCUUAGGGCCUGUGACUCCCUAACAGGGCACCAAGAAUCCCUCGUGGGCUGGCGCUGACUUCUGGGGCCCUUCUACCCGGCAGAGGCCCCCCAGAAGCAGCUGACAGUUUGCUCUACAGAUUUAUUUUCCAAAAGAUACUCGGCCUGCCACUGACACAGCUGCUCUGGGUUCUGACCUUUCACAAGAACCCUUAGGAGUUUUUCAAAGGAAGGGAGAAUUAAACGGCACACUUCAAACCUAUAUGAAUGAUGUGCUUGCAGCACUAAAGAGAAAAGGAAGGAAAGAACUCUCCAGAAGUGGCGUUUUUCCUUACACUUCAGCUUGUUUGCUAUUUCUAUUGAUUCUCGUGAACUGGCUGUCCCAGUCGCGCAUGUAGAUACCAGCACAGAGAAGCCUGCCAACACGCUGAGCACUUCUUGUGUUGGAGUUCGCGGAAGCAAAUCUUUGCACAUAUAUAGAUGCAUACGCUUUAAAGGAGAUUCUAUGACUCGCGUUAGAAAAGGAAGCCGACCGUAAAAGCUUGACUAAGGGGAGAGAAGCCAGCAGUGUGUUCUUGGGUCACAGACUUAUCAUCCCUGUUGUUAGACUAAAAGAGCGAAGCCUGUCAUAGACCCAGAGGGAUGUGGUGGCAUCCUGGAGGGAUAGGAGGACCAUAAAUUUGUGUCCACGGGAUGCUUUAUCCAAUAAUCUCUAAAUACUAGUUAUUAAAAUGGAACUAUGCCCACCUGACAUUCUGAUUUAUAGGUCUCUUUUACACACUGAUGGUUUUCUCCAAUUUGUGUUUCUGAGGUAUAGAUUGCCAAGUGGAUAAAGCCAUUGAUUAGAACUGCACCCCUAAGGCAGCUGUCGGUAGAAUCAGCAAGUCAUAAGAAUAAAAUGCAUUAGUUAUAAUCCCUGAGCAGUCUUUCACAUUGUGGAGGAUUUAAAAGUUUCAUUAUUUUUCAGUGUUACCAAGGGUUCAAUUCUUUUUUAAGAUCACACCGGUUAGGUAUUCUUUGCUACCCACAAAAAAAAAAAAGCAAAAAAACACCAAACAAAAACCAAAACAAAACAAA
Long non-coding RNA from Panthera uncia (snow leopard), 2754 nucleotides. RefSeq lists it as uncharacterized. Lineage: Eukaryota; Metazoa; Chordata; Mammalia; Carnivora; Felidae. The record is from RefSeq and is a predicted model, not a curated record. The transcript is spliced from 4 exons.